Molecule: ribosomal RNA, 433 nt
Filed under: uncultured bacterium
Lineage: Bacteria
Description: partial 16S ribosomal RNA
Rfam family: Bacterial small subunit ribosomal RNA
Source: RNAcentral
AACGGACGCUGGCGGCAUGCCUAACACAUGCAAGUCGAACGAGACCUUCGGGUCUAGUGGCGCACGGGUGCGUAACGCGUGGGAACCUGCCCUUAGGUUCGGAAUAACUCCCCGAAAGGGGUGCUAAUACCGGAUAAUGUCUUCGGACCAAAGAUUUAUCGCCUUUGGAUGGGCCCGCGUUGGAUUAGCUAGUUGGUAGGGUAAAAGCCUACCAAGGCGACGAUCCAUAGCUGGUCUGAGAGGAUGAUCAGCCACACUGGGACUGAGACACGGCCCAGACUCCUACGGGAGGCAGCAGUGGGGAAUAUUGGACAAUGGGCGAAAGCCUGAUCCAGCAAUGCCGCGUGAGUGAUGAAGGCCUUAGGGUUGUAAAGCUCUUUUACCCGGGAUGAUAAUGACAGUACCGGGAGAAUAAGCUCCGGCUAACUCCGUG